Molecule: small nuclear RNA, 104 nt
Organism: Vicugna pacos (alpaca)
Lineage: Eukaryota; Metazoa; Chordata; Mammalia; Artiodactyla; Camelidae
Source: Ensembl
GGGCUCACCUCAGCAGCACACAUACUAAAGUUGGAAUGAUACAGAGAUUAGCCUGGCCCCUGUGCAGGGAUGACACACAAAUCUGUGCAGCCUUCCAUAUUUAA